UACGAAGGGGGCUAGCGUUGUUCGGAAUUACUGGGCGUAAAGCGCACGUAGGCGGAUCGUUAAGUCGGGGGUGAAAUCUGGAGCUCAACUCCAGAACUGCCUCCGAUACUGCGAGUCUCCGAGUCCGGGAGAGGUGAGUGGAACUGCGAGUGUAGAGGUGAAAUUCGUAGAUAUUCGCAAGAACACCAGUGGCGAAGGCGGCUCACUGGCCCGGUACUGACGCUGAGGUGCGAAAGCGUGGGGAGCAAACAGG
Molecule: ribosomal RNA, 253 nt
Filed under: uncultured bacterium
Lineage: Bacteria
Description: partial 16S ribosomal RNA
Rfam family: Bacterial small subunit ribosomal RNA
Source: RNAcentral